Xiphophorus maculatus (southern platyfish) is the source of this 2311-nucleotide long non-coding RNA. RefSeq lists it as uncharacterized. NCBI's taxonomy places the organism in Eukaryota, Metazoa, Chordata, Actinopteri, Cyprinodontiformes, Poeciliidae. The record is from RefSeq and is a predicted model, not a curated record. The transcript has 3 exons.
AUUACUAUAUUUCUUUUCAGAUACGCCGUCUUUUAUAAUAUUAUAGAAUAACAGAAUAAUUUAUGGGUAGCGUGAUAGACUUUGUGUCAGUCAUAUCGUUCUGGGCUCGGUCUCGUAGAUGCUUGCCCGAAUUAGCAAAGCAAUUAUGCUAAUCAUACCGCAAGAAAAAAUAGAUAAAUUACACAUUCGUAUAAUUAAAUAUCUUUUUUGAGAAUGACUCAUUUCAGCGUUUUAGUAGGCAAUGUCUCCACUUUUAAUGUAUUUAUUUCCUGACGUUAAAAAACAAAUUUUCUUUCAGAUGUACUGUCCAUUUUGUGGAACUGCCGCCAUAAAUUCUGCAGACUUUUGUUGUCAAUGUGGCAGAAACAUAAAAUUUGUCCAAGAUCAUGCAAACAAAGCCCAAGAUGAGAGGAACACUACCACUGCAACUCCCGAUGUUCAACCAAGCACCAGCACAGGUGUAGAGUGUUUCAUGAACUUUAGAGCUAUAAAUGAGAGGGAAAGAAAGAAAUGUUUUACCAAGAAGCAUCAGAACAAAACACAGAAGGGAAAUAAACUGAAGGUAUGCCUUUAAUUUAGUGCAAACACAAACUGGAAAUUACAUACUUCAUCAAAUAAUUUAAUUUGAUUGAUUAAAUUUUGUCUCUCCGCAGAUUAAUGUUGGGCUUAUGAGGAUGCAGGGAGAUUCCCUUAAGACAGUGAGAGGGAAGUUACUUCCAGUUGAGAUUCACCCUGAGUGGGCAUCGGAACAAGUGCUUGCUGCUGCUGUAAAGAAGCAAAAGGAUAUAGGUCAAUAUAGACCUGAGAGAUUGUGCCCAUGUCUUGUUGUAUCCUGAUGCAAGGGAGGUUAAGAACAUCCCAGGAACAGACAUUCCUUUCACAGUGCAAAAGUACAAGGAGGCAAUUGGAAAGCCUUACCAAAGAAUUACGCUUUACAUUUGCCCUGUUGAGGAAUUUGCAAAUAGCUGUAAGUGCUUUUGAUCUACAUUCCAAAUAGUUUGAAGAUCAAUUUUGCUAUAGUCUUAUAGUUAAAAUGGCAAAAUUUCCUCCUAUAUCCAGAAUUCUGUGCAUGAUUAAUUCUAGCUAUGAUGUCAUAUAUUUUAUCUAAGGAAGCCAAAGGAUUUUCCUCUUUACAAAACCUACCUCCCUUUUGUAAAGACUGAUGUACAAACGUACAUUUUAUUAAUUGCAAAAUUUAGCCUUGCAAAAGAAAAUUUAUUAUUUAUAGUACACAUUUAUAGUAUAUUUCUUUUCACUGGUUGUUGAAAUGAUAGUAACCAUUUUCCUUUGGUUAAUAUCAACGAACAAAACUGUGUGGUUCAUAGUAAUAGAAGACUUACUGUGUUCAAAUAACUUUAAUAACAUAAACUUACCUAAUUUUUAAAGUGCAAUCAGUAAUACUUUUAUAACAAAUUUAUAUCAGUAAUGAUUUCAUAAAUAUUAAUUUAUGUUUUUGGUUAUUGUUCUCUACCAUAGAUAUCCAGUGCAGGUACAUUGACUGAACUACACCAGUCAGUUGAAAGACAUGCAAGCAUCUUGCCAACUGCUGGUUGCUUGCAGUUCCCUGUGACUGUUGAUGACAAAUUGAAAAUUGUAAAGGAGUUCAUUGAUUGGUACAUCAUUUACCGCAACCAUUUCUCUAUUCAAAGGUAAUGUUUCUCUUCCUUAACUUAAAAAAUAACUAUGCUAAUUUAGUUACUAUUUUGUUGCAGUUAAUACAAGCAAAUGUACAAUAGUGCAAGAAUCAAUCAAUCAAUCAACAGCACCCAGCAGCCAAAUAAGUAGGAGCCUUAUUGAUUGGACGGCUUAACUGGAGGAAAUUAACGUUACUGUAGGUUAAUUCACUGUGUACAGUGCAUCAGCAAUAUUACCUAUGCUAAAUAAAAAUAGUAAAAAAAGAUUAGACAUAUUAAUGUUCUUUGUGUUACUGAAAAAUAUCAGCUCUUUUGAUAAUAAUUAAGGUGAUUUCUGUUUCAAACUUUUUAUAGAUUCAAGGAUGGCCUUUCAACACUGAACUUCCAGAAUGCUUUGGAGCAGCAUGCUUCCGUCUUCAGGCCAUUUAUGUGUGCAAGAGUGGAACAGCUGACAUCCAAAAUAUUGGAGGAAAUAUUUGAGGUUCAGCUCAGUGAAAAGGGUAGCAGCAGACGACAUGAGGAAACAAGAGUGCUAGGAUUCUGGAGAGACUUUCUCCUUGACACAGAAGAACAAAAAACGGGCCUCUCUCUCCAGGACAUCCUGAUGUUUGCCACCGGCUUGAACACACUACCUCCAUCUUCAAUUCUGCCACCACCAAAACUGAUCUUUCAGGCCA